AGAAAGAUAAGCUAAGUUAAGCUAAUAGGUUCAUACCCUAUGUAUGGUAUCCCCUCUUUUUAGUG
RNAcentral lists this transfer RNA (65 nucleotides) under Parafronurus youi. RNAcentral's name for it is "tRNA-Met". Lineage: Eukaryota; Metazoa; Arthropoda; Insecta; Ephemeroptera; Heptageniidae. The record is from RNAcentral.